RNAcentral lists this long non-coding RNA (382 nucleotides) under Taeniopygia guttata (zebra finch). RNAcentral's name for it is "lncRNA (ENSTGUG00000027734.1)". The record is from RNAcentral. Lineage: Eukaryota; Metazoa; Chordata; Aves; Passeriformes; Estrildidae.
CCUUAAGUUACAGGGGAUGGAAGAGAAGGGCUGCCCUGUGGUCUUACAUGCUGGAAAUACAUGGUAAUGUUUGUGAGUUUCUAAUUGGAAAGAGAAAAAAGAUGCCCUUCCUCCGUAUCUUGUGAUGUGCAAUGUUUCAUGUCAGGACAGCUCCCCUGUGAAGGUCAGCAAACAGCAUGAAUGGUUCUCAGCAAGUAGUUCAGAUUCAGGUCAGCUGCCAGGAGAGAAACCCGAAAGUGACAAAUACUGUGUACCUUCUUCUGCCAUAUUGACAGGAUGUGGCUGUGAGUUUAGACAAAAGAUUCUUUUGUCUUUUCUCUUGUGAUGGGGGUGAUGGGAGGGUGCAUAUUGCUGUGCCUAAGACUGUGAAAUCAAGAAUAUG